CUUAAAAUAGGACCACCAGCUGCAGUCCGUGUUUUGCGCCUUUUAUUAAAGUACACAUGCUUUCACGCAGAGAUUAAUUUAUUUUCGUGAAAAUCACGUGAGUUGGUGAAACGCGUGUUUGCUUGUUUAUUAUUGAACCUUUUCCAAACCCCAAAAAGUGACUGAACAAUAAGUGGCUUUGCGACACACUUGCAAUAAUGUUUGAACCGAUUUGUGUUAUGCUAUAUCAAUGCGAAUCAAAGAGAAGUAAUCCCUGCUUGAGGUUUAGUAAACUACAGCUAAAAGAUUGCAGGAGGAUUGAAAUCGUGGAUAUGACGUGGUGUUCCAAUUUUUAGAGACCCACCGGCUCAUCAUCAUCAGGCCAUUCAUCAGCUACUAAUUUAAAAAAUUUUUAACUUUUUAAAUUUUUUGAUUUUUUUC
Molecule: long non-coding RNA, 420 nt
Organism: Bactrocera oleae (olive fruit fly)
Lineage: Eukaryota; Metazoa; Arthropoda; Insecta; Diptera; Tephritidae
Source: RefSeq, a predicted model, not a curated record